This is a long non-coding RNA of Malaclemys terrapin pileata, 393 nucleotides long. RefSeq lists it as uncharacterized. The transcript has 3 exons. The record is from RefSeq and is a predicted model, not a curated record. Lineage: Eukaryota; Metazoa; Chordata; Testudines; Emydidae.
CGAGAGCCUCGAUGUCGCCCAGGGGCCACACCCGUCCCAGUGGGGCGCCGCCGCCUGCUAGGGCCGCUUGGGUGUCCCCCCCCUCGGCCCCAGAAAGUCAUGAGAUUUGUGUGACCCAUGAGUUUUGAAUGUUUGGAGCUGGCCGUACUGCUGAUGCAACAAUUUAUAUAUCCUCCUGUCUAGAGCUUUUUGAAAAAGAUAAGAAGAGGGCAAGGACUUUGCACUCAAGGUGAAGCUAAACCCAUCCUCAGGUGAGGAACUGGCCUUCCUGCUGAGAGGUAUAUGGGGAGCACUAUCCACGACACCACCUGGCCCGGUAAUGAGACUAGCUCUAUUACACCCAUCCACAUUAAAAAAAAUGUAAUAAUAAAAAAAUCAAAAUUUUUGUUUGAA